Molecule: ribosomal RNA, 253 nt
Filed under: uncultured bacterium
Lineage: Bacteria
Description: partial 16S ribosomal RNA
Rfam family: Bacterial small subunit ribosomal RNA
Source: RNAcentral
UACGUAGGGGGCAAGCGUUGUCCGGAAUUAUUGGGCGUAAAGAGCUCGUAGGCGGCUUGUUGCGUCGACUGUGAAAACCCGCGGCUUAACCGUGGGCUUGCAGUUGAUACGGGCAGGCUAGAGUUCGGUAGGGGAGACUGGAAUUCCUGGUGUAGCGGUGAAAUGCGCAGAUAUCAGGAGGAACACCGGUGGCGAAGGCGGGUCUCUGGGCCGAUACUGACGCUGAGGAGCGAAAGCGUGGGGAGCGAACAGG